Molecule: ribosomal RNA, 1532 nt
Filed under: Klebsiella pneumoniae
Lineage: Bacteria; Pseudomonadati; Pseudomonadota; Gammaproteobacteria; Enterobacterales; Enterobacteriaceae
Description: bacterial SSU rRNA
Rfam family: Bacterial small subunit ribosomal RNA
Source: RNAcentral
AGAGUUUGAUCAUGGCUCAGAUUGAACGCUGGCGGCAGGCCUAACACAUGCAAGUCGAGCGGUAGCACAGAGAGCUUGCUCUCGGGUGACGAGCGGCGGACGGGUGAGUAAUGUCUGGGAAACUGCCUGAUGGAGGGGGAUAACUACUGGAAACGGUAGCUAAUACCGCAUAAUGUCGCAAGACCAGAGUGGGGGACCUUCGGGCCUCAUGCCAUCAGAUGUGCCCAGAUGGGAUUAGCUAGUAGGUGGGGUAACGGCUCACCUAGGCGACGAUCCCUAGCUGGUCUGAGAGGAUGACCAGCCACACUGGAACUGAGACACGGUCCAGACUCCUACGGGAGGCAGCAGUGGGGAAUAUUGCACAAUGGGCGCAAGCCUGAUGCAGCCAUGCCGCGUGUGUGAAGAAGGCCUUCGGGUUGUAAAGCACUUUCAGCGGGGAGGAAGGCGAUAAGGUUAAUAACCUUGUCGAUUGACGUUACCCGCAGAAGAAGCACCGGCUAACUCCGUGCCAGCAGCCGCGGUAAUACGGAGGGUGCAAGCGUUAAUCGGAAUUACUGGGCGUAAAGCGCACGCAGGCGGUCUGUCAAGUCGGAUGUGAAAUCCCCGGGCUCAACCUGGGAACUGCAUUCGAAACUGGCAGGCUAGAGUCUUGUAGAGGGGGGUAGAAUUCCAGGUGUAGCGGUGAAAUGCGUAGAGAUCUGGAGGAAUACCGGUGGCGAAGGCGGCCCCCUGGACAAAGACUGACGCUCAGGUGCGAAAGCGUGGGGAGCAAACAGGAUUAGAUACCCUGGUAGUCCACGCCGUAAACGAUGUCGAUUUGGAGGUUGUGCCCUUGAGGCGUGGCUUCCGGAGCUAACGCGUUAAAUCGACCGCCUGGGGAGUACGGCCGCAAGGUUAAAACUCAAAUGAAUUGACGGGGGCCCGCACAAGCGGUGGAGCAUGUGGUUUAAUUCGAUGCAACGCGAAGAACCUUACCUGGUCUUGACAUCCACAGAACUUUCCAGAGAUGGAUUGGUGCCUUCGGGAACUGUGAGACAGGUGCUGCAUGGCUGUCGUCAGCUCGUGUUGUGAAAUGUUGGGUUAAGUCCCGCAACGAGCGCAACCCUUAUCCUUUGUUGCCAGCGGUUAGGCCGGGAACUCAAAGGAGACUGCCAGUGAUAAACUGGAGGAAGGUGGGGAUGACGUCAAGUCAUCAUGGCCCUUACGACCAGGGCUACACACGUGCUACAAUGGCAUAUACAAAGAGAAGCGACCUCGCGAGAGCAAGCGGACCUCAUAAAGUAUGUCGUAGUCCGGAUUGGAGUCUGCAACUCGACUCCAUGAAGUCGGAAUCGCUAGUAAUCGUAGAUCAGAAUGCUACGGUGAAUACGUUCCCGGGCCUUGUACACACCGCCCGUCACACCAUGGGAGUGGGUUGCAAAAGAAGUAGGUAGCUUAACCUUCGGGAGGGCGCUUACCACUUUGUGAUUCAUGACUGGGGUGAAGUCGUAACAAGGUAACCGUAGGGGAACCUGCGGUUGGAUCACCUCCUU